RNAcentral lists this ribosomal RNA (464 nucleotides) under uncultured soil bacterium. RNAcentral describes it as "bacterial SSU rRNA". It matches the Rfam family "Bacterial small subunit ribosomal RNA", at positions 26 to 518 of the family's 1533-position model. The record is from RNAcentral.
AGGAUAAACGCUGGCGGCGUGCAUGAGACAUGCAAGUCGAACGGACUCCAGGCUUGCUUGGAGUUAGUGGCGAACGGCUGAGUAACGCGUAGGUGACCUACCCCGAAGUGGGGAAUAACUGCCCGAAAGGGUGGCUAAUACCGCAUGUGGUGAUGCGUUCGUUCGCAUCUCCAAAGCCGUGAGGCGCUUCGGGAGGGGCCUGCGUCCGAUUAGCUCGUUGGUGGGGUAACGGCUCACCAAGGCGACGAUCGGUAGGUGGUCUGAGAGGACGAUCACCCAGACUGGGACUGAGACACGGCCCAGACUCCUACGGGAGGCAGCAGUCGGGAAUUUGCGCAAUGGGCGAAAGCCUGACGCAGCAACGCCGCGUGAGGAUGAAGGCUUCGGGUUGUAAACCUCUUUCUCAGGAAGAUAAUGACGGUACCUGAGGAAUAAGACACGGCUAACUACGUGCCAGCAGCCGC